This 301-nucleotide ribosomal RNA is filed under the name uncultured bacterium. Its description in RNAcentral is "partial 16S ribosomal RNA". It matches the Rfam family "Bacterial small subunit ribosomal RNA", at positions 509 to 809 of the family's 1533-position model. The record is from RNAcentral.
CAGCCGCCGCGGGAAUACAGAGGGUGCGAGCGUUAAUCGGAUUUACUGGGCGUAAAGCGUGCGUAGGCGGCUUCUUAAGUCGGAUGUGAAAUCCCUGAGCUUAACUUAGGAAUUGCAUUCGAUACUGGGAAGCUAGAGUAUGGGAGAGGAUGGUAGAAUUCCAGGUGUAGCGGUGAAAUGCGUAGAGAUCUGGAGGAAUACCGAUGGCGAAGGCAGCCAUCUGGCCUAAUACUGACGCUGAGGUACGAAAGCAUGGGGAGCAAACAGGAUUAGAUACCCGAGUAGUCCCUGUCUCUUAUCC